This 486-nucleotide ribosomal RNA is filed under the name uncultured bacterium. RNAcentral's name for it is "bacterial SSU rRNA". It matches the Rfam family "Bacterial small subunit ribosomal RNA", at positions 501 to 985 of the family's 1533-position model. The record is from RNAcentral.
CUACGUGCCAGCAGCCGCGGUAAUACGGAGGGUGCGAGCGUUAAUCGGAAUAACUGGGCGUAAAGGGCACGCAGGCGGUUAUUUAAGUGAGGUGUGAAAGCCCUGGGCUUAACCUGGGAAUUGCAUUUCAGACUGGGUAACUAGAGUACUUUAGGGAGGGGUAGAAUUCCACGUGUAGCGGUGAAAUGCGUAGAGAUGUGGAGGAAUACCGAAGGCGAAGGCAGCCCCUUGGGAAUGUACUGACGCUCAUGUGCGAAAGCGUGGGGAGCAAACAGGAUUAGAUACCCUGGUAGUCCACGCCGUAAACGAUGAGUGCUAGGUGUUAGGCCCUUUCCGGGGCUUAGUGCCGCAGCUAACGCAUUAAGCACUCCGCCUGGGGAGUACGACCGCAAGGUUGAAACUCAAAGGAAUUGACGGGGGCCCGCACAAGCGGUGGAGCAUGUGGUUUAAUUCGAUGCAACGCGAAGAACCUUACCUGGUCUUGAC